Molecule: long non-coding RNA, 939 nt
Filed under: Citrus x clementina
Lineage: Eukaryota; Viridiplantae; Streptophyta; Magnoliopsida; Sapindales; Rutaceae
Description: Citrus clementina (C. clementina) long non-coding RNA (CCLE_LNC004977)
Source: RNAcentral
GCAAAAAUAACUGCCCGAAGGCCGGGGCGCCAAGUUCGUCCAGCGGAAAAAGGCCACAAAAACGGGUGGGCUAUAGCCUUGGGGGGUGGGGCUGGCCAACUUCGUCCGCCCAACUCGGAAUGCCGCGAGACUUUGCGAGGGGCCUCCGUGUGCCACAAAUAGGCCAUGGGCAAAGCCGCGCCCAAAAAUACCCGCGCGAAGGCCGCGGCGCCAAGUUGGUCCAAAGGUAAAAGACCACAAAAAGGGGUGGGCCUUGGGGGGUGGGGCUGGCCAACUUCGUCCGCCGGACUCGGAAUGCCGCGAGACUUUGCGAGGGGCUUCCGUGUGCCAAAAAUAGGCCGUGGGCAAAGCCGUGCCCAGAAAUAACCGUCCGAAGGCCGGGGCGCCAAGUUCGUCCAGCGGAAAAAGUCCACAAAAAGGGGUGGGCUAUCGCCUUGGGGGGUGGGGCUGGCCCAUUUCGUCCGCCGGACUCGGAAUGCCGCGAGACUUUGCGAUGGGCCUCCGUGUCCAAAUAUAGGCCGUGGACAAUGCCGCACCCAAAAAUAACCGCCCGAAGGCCGGGGCGCCAAGUUCGUCCAGCGGAAAAAGGACACAAAAACGGGUGGGCUAUAGCCUUGGGGGGUGGGGCUGGCCCACUUCGUCCGCCGGACUCGGAAUGCCGCGAGAUUUUGCGAGGGCCCUCCGUGUGCCAAAAAUAGGCUGCGGGCAAAGCCGCGCCCAAAAAUAACCGCCCGAAGGCCGGGGCGCCAAGUUCGUGCAGCGGAAAAAGGCCACAAAAACGAGUGGGCUAUAGCCUUGGGGGGUGGGGCCGGCCAACUUCGUCCGCCGGACUAGGAAUGCCGCGUGACUUUGCGAGGGGCCUCCGUCUGCCAAAAAUAGGCCGCGGACAAAGCCGCACCCAAAAAUAACCGCCCGAAGGCCGGGGCGCCAAGUUCGUCC